GGGGCUCAAACCUAAAGAACCUAAAUAUCUAAACGGAAAGAUUCAAUAUUGUUGUAAAAGACAAUGUGCACUUCUUUCUUAGUAAGAUGCUGUGAUUCAUUAGAAAUUGAUCAUUUCAUUGAUUAUGAGGCUAUCAAUAGGCCAACAUGAAGUUCAUCAAUAUGAAUGAUAUGAUCUUUAAUGGUCGUGUGUAUUGUAUGGUGAGCAUGUUGUGUUCUGAUAUAGCUGUCUGAUGGAUUUUAAAGUUCAUAUUAUUGAUGUUUCGACAUCACUCAUAUUUGAGUUGAAUAUGUAACCGAUCAACAGCACUAAAUUUGGGAUACCUUUUGGACCCGUCUUGAAACACGGACCAAGGAGUUUAUCUAAUAUGCGAGUAAAUGAGUAAUAGGAUUUAAACUUAUUUGCGUAAAUAAAUUAACUGUUUUUAUGGGAUUACGAGCAAUGCCUUAUACGUAUUACUCUUCCAUCCCGGGGUAUUUUUAUCAACAUAUGCAGCAAUGUAUAUGGAAAAUAUACCAUGAGCAUACUGGAUAUGACCCGAAAGAUGGUGAACUAUGCUUGAUCAGGUUGAAGUCAGGGGAAACCCUGAUGGAAGACCGAAGCAGUUCUGACGUGCAAAUCG
Molecule: ribosomal RNA, 622 nt
Filed under: Notocladius sp. 2 SRM-2010
Lineage: Eukaryota; Metazoa; Arthropoda; Insecta; Diptera; Chironomidae
Description: eukaryotic LSU rRNA
Rfam family: Eukaryotic large subunit ribosomal RNA
Source: RNAcentral